GCGACAGUGGGGAAUUUUGGACAAUGGGGGCAACCCUGUAUCCAGCAAUGCCGCGUGCAGGCAGCAGGCCUUCGGGUUGUCAACUGCUUUUGUCCGGCCCGCCAAGGCUCUGGUUCAUCCCUGGGGCACCUGUCCGGUACCGUAAGCAUCAGCACCGGCUCACUCCGUGCCAGCAGCCGCGGUAAUC
This 187-nucleotide ribosomal RNA is filed under the name uncultured bacterium. Its description in RNAcentral is "partial 16S ribosomal RNA". It matches the Rfam family "Bacterial small subunit ribosomal RNA", at positions 348 to 525 of the family's 1533-position model. The record is from RNAcentral.